This 778-nucleotide ribosomal RNA is filed under the name uncultured Neocallimastigales. RNAcentral's name for it is "partial large subunit ribosomal RNA". It matches the Rfam family "Eukaryotic large subunit ribosomal RNA", at positions 26 to 645 of the family's 3401-position model. The record is from RNAcentral. Lineage: Eukaryota; Fungi; Neocallimastigomycota; Neocallimastigomycetes; Neocallimastigales.
CGUCUAUAUACGUAUAGCAUAUCAAUAAGCGGAGGAAAAGAAACUAACUAGGAUUCCCUUAGUAACGGCGAGUGAAGCGGGAAGAGCUCAAAUUUGAAAUCUUCAAGGUUCUACCUUGACGAAUUGUAGUUUAAAGAAGUGUUUUCUGUUGGAGUUUGGCUAAAAGUUCUUUGGAAUAGGACAUCAUAGAGGGUGAGAAUCCCGUAUUUGUACCAUAUCUUCUAGCUUUAGUGAUACACUUUCAAAGAGUCGGAUUGUUUGAGAAUGCAGUCCAAAAUGGGUGGUAAAUUUCAUCUAAAGCUAAAUAUUGGCGAGAGACCGAUAGCGAACAAGUACCGUGAGGGAAAGAUGAAAAGAACUUUGAAAAGAGAGUUAAACAGUACGUGAAAUUGUCAAAAGGGAAGCGUUUGACACCAGUGUUGUUUUUCCGAAAAUCAAUUACGAAUGGUUUUGUUUCUGAUGUGAUGACCUUCAUCAGCUUCCUUCAUCUCUUUACGAAGUCUUUUGUAAUGCACUUUUCGGUUAACAAGUCAACAUCAAUUUCUUUUGUUGUAAAAGAGUAUUCGGAAGGUGGCUUUCUUUUCGGAGAAAGUGUUUAUAGCCCUAUACUUCUACAAUCGGAGAGAUUGAGGUCUGCAGCGUAGAUCCUUCGGGGUUAGAUACACUUGUGCUAAGUUAUAGCUUUUCAUAGACAACUUGUUGACUAUGUUUAGUCUUGUAGCUUACUCGCUUGUGCUAUUUUACCUACGCUUAGGAUGUUGAAGUCAUCGUAUCGCGC